RNAcentral lists this ribosomal RNA (913 nucleotides) under uncultured archaeon. RNAcentral's name for it is "bacterial SSU rRNA". It matches the Rfam family "Archaeal small subunit ribosomal RNA", at positions 4 to 922 of the family's 1478-position model. The record is from RNAcentral.
CUGGUUGAUCCUGCCGGAGGUUACUGCUAUCGAGGUUCGACUAAGCCAUGCGAGUCGAAUGUAGCAAUACAUGGCGUACUGCUCAGUAACACGUGGAUAACCUACCCUUAGAACGGGGAUAAACCCGGGAAACUGGGUAUAAUACCCGAUAGAUCUCGACUGCUGGAAUGCAUCGAGUUCCAAAGCUCCGGCGUCUAAGGAUGGAUCUGCGGCCUAUCAGGUAGUAGUGGGUGUAGCGUACCUACUAGCCUACGACGGGUACGGGUUGUGAGAGCAAGAGCCCGGAGAUGGAUUCUGAGACACGAAUCCAGGCCCUACGGGGUGCAGCAGGCGCGAAAACUUUACAAUGCUGGCAACAGCGAUAAGGGGACCUCGAGUGCCAGGUUACAAAUCUGGCUGUCGUAAUGCCUAAAAAGCAUUGCAUAGCAAGGGCCGGGCAAGACCGGUGCCAGCCGCCGCGGUAACACCGGCGGCUCGAGUGGUAACCGUUAUUAUUGGGUCUAAAGGGUCUGUAGCCGGCCGGAUAAGUCUCUUGGGAAAUCUGGCAGCUUAACUGUCGGGCUUUCAGGAGAUACUGUCUGGCUCGAGGCCGGGAGAGGUGAGAGGUACUUCAGGGGUAGGGGUGAAAUCUUGUAAUCCUUGAAGGACCACCAGUGGCGAAGGCGUCUCACCAGAACGGACCUGACGGCAAGGGACGAAAGCUAGGGGCACGAACCGGAUUAGAUACCCGGGUAGUCCUAGCCGUAAACGAUACUCGCUAGGUGUCGGCCACGGUGCGACCGUUGUCGGUGCCGUAGGGAAGCCGUGAAGCGAGCCACCUGGGAAGUACGGCCGCAAAGCUGAAACUUAAAGGAAUUGGCGGGGGAGCACCACAACGGGUGGAGCUUGCGGUUUAAUUGGAUUCAACGCCGGG